CGCAGGCAACGGCCCGAAGGGCGAAGCGCGCAGCGCUGAGUAAUCUCUCCCCCACCACCA
Molecule: small RNA, 60 nt
Filed under: Salmonella enterica
Lineage: Bacteria; Pseudomonadati; Pseudomonadota; Gammaproteobacteria; Enterobacterales; Enterobacteriaceae
Description: partial RtT sRNA
Rfam family: RtT RNA
About the family: This family represents a bacterial cis-regulatory element known as RtT RNA. The exact function of RtT is unknown although it is thought that it may be involved in changing the cellular response in relation to amino acid starvation.
Source: RNAcentral